This 536-nucleotide ribosomal RNA is filed under the name Fusarium proliferatum. RNAcentral describes it as "eukaryotic LSU rRNA". The stretch from base 150 to 303 matches the Rfam family "5.8S ribosomal RNA". The record is from RNAcentral. Lineage: Eukaryota; Fungi; Ascomycota; Sordariomycetes; Hypocreales; Nectriaceae.
CGUAAUCGCAGGAAGAAGCGUACCGCUGUGACAUACCAAUUGUUGCCUCGGCGGAUCAACCCGCUCCCGGUAAAACGGGACGGCCCGCCAGAGGACCCCUAAACUCUGUUUCUAUAUGUAACUUCUGAGUAAAACCAUAAAUAAAUCAAAACUUUCAACAACGGAUCUCUUGGUUCUGGCAUCGAUGAAGAACGCAGCAAAAUGCGAUAAGUAAUGUGAAUUGCAGAAUUCAGUGAAUCAUCGAAUCUUUGAACGCACAUUGCGCCCGCCAGUAUUCUGGCGGGCAUGCCUGUUCGAGCGUCAUUUCAACCCUCAAGCCCCCGGGUUUGGUGUUGGGGAUCGGCGAGCCCUUGCGGCAAGCCGGCCCCGAAAUCUAGUGGCGGUCUCGCUGCAGCUUCCAUUGCGUAGUAGUAAAACCCUCGCAACUGGUACGCGGCGCGGCCAAGCCGUUAAACCCCCAACUUCUGAAUGUUGACCUCGGAUCAGGUAGGAAUACCCGCUGAACUUAACCAUAUCAAUAAGCGGAGAAGUGGGCG